CGGUGGGCCAACCUGUUGGCAGCACUUCUGUCAUAUGUUGGUCUCAUAAUGCCAGAGUGAUUUGAGUGCAGCCUGGGGCCCAUUGCCGUGGAUCUGGCUCCAUUUCUUUCAUUUUUAUGGAAAAUUGAAUCUUCUUCUUUCCUAAGAUUUUAUACUUGGAUUCUAUGAUUGACUGGUCUCCAUGGAAAAGAGCAGUUGGAGGGAUGUGAAGGAGGCCCUUGAAUCAGCGUUUAGCCAGCAUGGAGACUGUGUUCCAGCUUGGAACACAUGCUAGCAAUGGGAAGAAGGCAAAAAUGAAGCAACUGAGACUUAGAUGGAUUUGCCCAAAGUGACCUAACUACCAAGUAGUCAGAUCAAACCCAAACUUUUAACCUCCACGCUAGACUGCGCCUCCUCAUGUGUCACAGUGCAGUGCUCCUUAACAAACGCCUUCCGCUGCUCACUCGAGUUCAGAGAGUUCUUCCACGGUCAGCUCCUCCUUAUGGUCCUCAAGGAGCACUUCUGUGUCUGCACCAUCGACGUCUAGGCCGUACUUUUGCCAACGGACACCCCCCCACACACUACCUGUGCUUCAGACCCUUCAAAGUCACCUUCAGUGACACGUUCCGGCCA
Long non-coding RNA from Fukomys damarensis (Damara mole-rat), 612 nucleotides. RefSeq lists it as uncharacterized. The transcript is spliced from 3 exons. The record is from RefSeq and is a predicted model, not a curated record. Lineage: Eukaryota; Metazoa; Chordata; Mammalia; Rodentia; Bathyergidae.